This 1696-nucleotide long non-coding RNA is filed under the name Brachypodium distachyon (stiff brome). Its description in RNAcentral is "long non-coding RNA (BDIS_LNC004717)". Lineage: Eukaryota; Viridiplantae; Streptophyta; Magnoliopsida; Poales; Poaceae. The record is from RNAcentral.
CGGUGAGAUUUUUCCAGUUUAUCCGUAGUUUAGAUCUGUUUUUACCUAUCGUCUAGAAAAAGCCAAAAAAAAAUUAGAAUUAGUUACCUUGUCCUAGAACCAAUCUGAGCCUUGCAAUUUUCACUUUAGUAUUUGCAUUGUUGAAUCUUUGCUGCAUUAAUCGUGUCGAGUUGCUGGAUUAGAUUGGAUCGUUUUUCAGAUUUUUUCUACUAGAUCGAACUUGCUUUUGGUUUUCUUGUUCUUCGUGUGACGCAGGUUUCCUUCAUCAAUCUUCCGCCGCCAAACUUCCUACCACACCACCGCCAUAAUCUCUCGCCGCCACCAUAUCUUCCACCAAGUCCCUCUUGGAGUCCUACACCGAGUCCCUCAUCGAGUCUUACACCGAGUCCCUCUUCGAGUCCUACACCGAGUCCCUCGUCAAGUCCUACACUGUGUCCCUCUUCGAGUUCUACAUCGAGUCGGCAAAUAAUAGUUUUCAGCCGCGAGUUCGAGUUUGAGUCCAAUAAGGAGUGCUUUUGGAAAGUGUUUCAUCAUAGAUCGAAUUUUGUUUAGAGAUCAAGUUGUUUGGAAAGUUGUAUAAAAAAGAAAGGAAAGAAAGAAAGAAAAAAAACGAAAUAAAAAAGAGAAAGAGUUCAAGUCAGUUUCGAACCCGAGUCCGAAUAGAAUUUUAGUUUCGGGUGGGUUUGACCCGUGUUCAGUAAAAUGGGCGUAUCUUUUGCGUACCAACUCGGAUUUGGACGUUCUUGGAUUUUUUGGAAAGCUCACGACGAGGCGCGCCAGAAAAUAUCCAGGGCGUUGCCCUUCAAUUUGACCCUCAAAUUCGGUUUGUAAGGUGGACUUUCGGAGCUUCCAAGUUUCUGCAUCCGUUUUCCGGCGUCGCUACAGCCCGGUGUUUCUCAGUUUUCUCCACCGUCCGACAUCCGUUUUGAGUGAUCUUGCCCUUGCUGGAAAGCUUGUGUCGAUACCCUUCUAACCCAUAUUUUUCCAUAUUUUUCUGAAUUUUUCUUACUGCAGCCUUUGCUGUUCUUCGACAGACCGACGUACAGUUUUCCGGUCUUUCUUUUGUGUGAGUUUCUGGGGUUAAAAAAGAAAGAACAAAAAAAGAAGAAGAAAAGAAUAAGAAGCCAAACAGAAGGCCACAAAAAGAAAACAAAAGAAAAAAAAUCCUAGGGAUUUACUUGUUGUGCCAUCUUUUGAUCUAUCUAUUCCUACCUUCUUCAGUAUCUAGGCUUAGAUUAUUUCUGUAAUUCGUUCUUAUCGACUCCAGCAGCUAGGACUAGCAUUAUUGAGCGUAUUUUCAACUUUGCAUUGCUGAUUUGAUUAUUUGUUAUUCUUUGCUACUCACAAAAGCCUCCAAGCUCCACAGAUUCUACACCUAGGUUGGUUUCUUACCGAGGCAUCGAUACAUUUAAUCUUCGGAGGGCUUGGUUACGCCGCUGGCCAUCACCUUCCUGUUUUGCAUGGUAAGAACUCGUAAGAACUUGAUUUUUAGCUUGCGAGUUGAGCAACUUGUAGCCACAUCCUAGUAGUUGAUAGGAACAUAUUACUGUGAUUUGUUUCUUGUUUUCUACUAACCAUGACAGGACUUACAUGAAGCAUGGCAACUAGACCGAUGCUAUUUCGUGACCGCGAUGAGUGCUUUUCACCCCGGGCAUCUUCCACGUCUCUUGUUGAUAAUGCCACGGCAACGGUACAA